Fukomys damarensis (Damara mole-rat) is the source of this 399-nucleotide long non-coding RNA. RefSeq lists it as uncharacterized. The transcript has 3 exons. Lineage: Eukaryota; Metazoa; Chordata; Mammalia; Rodentia; Bathyergidae. The record is from RefSeq and is a predicted model, not a curated record.
CAGCUGCUCAUUUGUUGAGGACCGACAGUGAUGGGUGUUCAGGUCACUUCUCUGAGCUGUGUGGUUUCAUGGGCACAGAGCGUUGCUCUGGACUUUGCAUCCUUCGGUCACCAGAGAGCAGAGCCCAGGGGCAGGAAGGGCAGAGACACCAGCAGAAGACAGCUUCUGGCGGGGAGCACAGCCUACCGACCCAGCGGAGAGGGACCAGAGUGCAGAGCCCACAGAGGGGAGAGGUAGAUGAGCAAGUCAGAUGGGACCCGUGGUGCACACCUGUGUGCCUUCCAUCAGAGAGUGGCAAGGCCAGGAUGUGGGGUGCUGUGGCCCUUGCCCUGCUGGCAGACCCUGGGCACAGCACACAGUCACAGAGUGUCAGCAGCAGUACACGACUUUGGGACAGCA